This 159-nucleotide non-coding RNA is filed under the name Cytobacillus firmus. RNAcentral also lists the same sequence under 1 other name. The record is from RNAcentral. Lineage: Bacteria; Bacillati; Bacillota; Bacilli; Caryophanales; Bacillaceae.
UUUGUAGAGAUGUGGAAAUAUGAAGGAAACGAGCGGCAAACACGGUCAGAGGAACACGAACUUCAUAUAGAGCUAGGUACCAUUGGAUGAGUUUGCACAAUCGAAACAAAAUCCAUACUACAGAAGGUGCAGAAAGAUGGAGGGAAAGAGGCUGUACUC